RNAcentral lists this ribosomal RNA (439 nucleotides) under uncultured bacterium. RNAcentral describes it as "bacterial SSU rRNA". It matches the Rfam family "Bacterial small subunit ribosomal RNA", at positions 43 to 483 of the family's 1533-position model. The record is from RNAcentral.
CGAACGAAGCACAUACGGCGGAACUUUUCGGAGGGAAGAUGUAUGUGACUGAGUGGCGGACGGGUGAGUAACGCGUGGGUAACCUGCCCCAUAGAGGGGGACAACAGUUGGAAACGACUGCUAAUACCGCAUAAGAAAGAAUUGCCGCAUGGCAGUUUUUUGAAAGAUUUAUCGCUAUGGGAUGGACCCGCGUCUGAUUAGCUAGUUGGGAGGGUAACGGCCUACCAAGGCAACGAUCAGUAGCCGGCUUGAGAGAGUGAACGGCCACAUUGGGACUGAGACACGGCCCAGACUCCUACGGGAGGCAGCAGUGGGGAAUAUUGCACAAUGGGGGAAACCCUGAUGCAGCGACGCCGCGUGAGUGAAGAAGUAUUUCGGUAUGUAAAGCUCUAUCAGCAGGGAAGAAACCCACCCUCCGGGGUGGCUGACGGUACCUGAC